This is a long non-coding RNA of Octopus sinensis (East Asian common octopus), 167 nucleotides long. RefSeq lists it as uncharacterized. The transcript is spliced from 3 exons. The record is from RefSeq and is a predicted model, not a curated record. Lineage: Eukaryota; Metazoa; Mollusca; Cephalopoda; Octopoda; Octopodidae.
CUACGAUUAAAGUCAUAAAAUAGAUUUUUCUCAAAUAAACAAGUUGGAAUUAGUGUUUUGUUUUGAGACACUCUACUAGUACACGAAGUUUCAAAUUGUUUAGUUAACUAGAAAGAUCUGCGGUCCAGGCGACGAAAAUGAAAAGAUCCAACAGCUGCAAUAAUGAU